This 602-nucleotide long non-coding RNA is filed under the name Lepeophtheirus salmonis (salmon louse). RNAcentral's name for it is "uncharacterized LOC121123346". Lineage: Eukaryota; Metazoa; Arthropoda; Copepoda; Siphonostomatoida; Caligidae. The record is from RNAcentral.
AAAAUUAUUGUCAACCAAGUUGCAAAAUUACGAACUGGACACUUUUAAAACCUACGUACCUAUCAACAGUAUUAAUAUGGCGGCAUGUGUAAUAUAUAGAUGGAUCGCUUUAUCCAAUUAAAAAUAAAAGUAUGUAUGCAGGCACAGCACAUAUGUAAAGCCAAGUCUUUAUAAAAGAAACACAACAAAGAUCUUUGUCAAGGAAUAGAACGAGUCAUCACUCCUUGUUAACAGUUUAAUGUUUUCUAUUAUGUCAUCGUUUUUGGUAGAGAUGGGAUUUUUGCAAGAGCGCGAGGAGAAGGCUGGAUCAAGACUAAAUUAAGACCUUUGUUAAUAUCAGUUGCCUGUUAUACAAUUUUGGAGGUAGAGGAUGAAUUACUGCGAAAAAAUGAUUAUAUUUAAAUUCAUAUAUAUUUUUUUUUAAAACAAGUUCCGUCACAGAUAAGCGUGAAUGCUACUUCAAAGGGAUAAUUUAUCAACACGACGACCAAUUUUUUUUAUCCUUAACCAAAACAGGCGAACAUAAUUAUUAUUAAUGAACAUAUAAAUAAGAUAUGUAUUAUGUAUAUAAAUAAUAAAAAAACACAUAAAAAACAAAAAAA